UACGUAGGGGGCAAGCGUUGUCCGGAAUCAUUGGGCGUAAAGAGCGUGUAGGCGGCCCGGUAAGUCCGCUCUGAAAGCCCGGGGCUCAACCCCGGGAGGCGGGUGGAUACUGCUGAGCUUGAGUCCGGAAGAGGCGAGUGGAAUUCCCGGUGUAGCGGUGAAAUGCGCAGAUAUCGGGAGGAACACCAAUGGCGAAGGCAGCUCGCUGGGACGUGACUGACGCUGAGACGCGAAAGCGUGGGGAGCAAACAGG
RNAcentral lists this ribosomal RNA (253 nucleotides) under uncultured bacterium. Its description in RNAcentral is "partial 16S ribosomal RNA". It matches the Rfam family "Bacterial small subunit ribosomal RNA", at positions 524 to 776 of the family's 1533-position model. The record is from RNAcentral.